AACGUAGGAGGCAAGCGUUGUUCGGAUUCAUUGGGCGUAAAGGGUGCGUAGGCGGCGCGGUAAGUCGGGUGUGAAAUCUCCAGGCUUAACCUGGAAGGGUCGGUUGAUACUGUCGAGCUAGAGUGUGGAAGAGGCAACUGGAAUUCCGUGUGUAGCGGUGAAAUGCGUAGAUAUACGGAGGAACACCUGCGGCGAAGGCGGGUUGCUGGGCCAACACUGACGCUGAGGCGCGAAAGCUAGGGUAGCAAACGGG
Molecule: ribosomal RNA, 253 nt
Filed under: uncultured bacterium
Lineage: Bacteria
Description: partial 16S ribosomal RNA
Rfam family: Bacterial small subunit ribosomal RNA
Source: RNAcentral